GUCAUAUGAGAUGGUACUAUUUCAGCUUUGCAAUACUUCCAAGUAACCAUAAGAGGGCAGUAGUUACUCACAUUUGAUUAUAGAAACUUCCAUGGGCGUCCACAAGCAACUCCUCCUUAGACCAACAUUAUAAUAGCAAAAGCAAAGCUCCCAUAUUCACUGAUUUAUUUGGACUUCAAGAUGUCUUCAGCAGACACAGUCAUGUCACACAUGUUGAAGAAUAUAUUUCUCUUCACGCUAUUAAUCUUUGGGUGCAGAUCAGAGGACUCAGUUGAUCAGCCAGACAAACAUUUGACUGAAACUGAAGGAAGAUCUGUGACAUUACAGUGUAAAUAUAAAACAGAUUCUGUACAAGAAGAUUUAUUCUGGUAUAUCCAGAGAGCAAACGACUUUCCUAAAUACAUCCUGAGGAGAAGCAAAUAUGGAGGAGAAAAUGGCACUGAGUUUCAGGAGAGAUUUCACUCUGAACUUUCAUCAAACUCAGUUCCUCUGAUGAUCAAGGAUGUGAGUGUGUCUGACUCUGCUGUGUAUUACUGUGCUCUGAGGCCCACUGUGACAAAACUCAAGUCAAACCACAUACAAAAACUCUGAGGCAUAAACG
Molecule: non-coding RNA, 601 nt
Organism: Pimephales promelas (fathead minnow)
Lineage: Eukaryota; Metazoa; Chordata; Actinopteri; Cypriniformes; Leuciscidae
Source: the annotation of a RefSeq genome assembly